This 400-nucleotide ribosomal RNA is filed under the name uncultured bacterium. RNAcentral's name for it is "bacterial SSU rRNA". It matches the Rfam family "Bacterial small subunit ribosomal RNA", at positions 355 to 769 of the family's 1533-position model. The record is from RNAcentral.
UGGGGAAUUUUCCGCAAUGGGCGAAAGCCUGACGGAGCGACGCCGCGUGGAGGAAGAAGUUUUUCGGAAUGUAAACUCCUUUUGUCAGGGACGAAACAAAUGACGGUACCUGAAGAAUAAGCAUCGGCUAACUACGUGCCAGCAGCCGCGGUAAUACGUAGGAUGCAAGCGUUGUUCGGAAUUACUGGGCGUAAAGCGUACGUAGGUGGUAUCAUAAGUCUGUUAUUAAAGACCGAAGCUCAACUUCGGGAAUGUAAUGGAAACUAUGAAACUAGAGGUCAAUAGGGGGAGUCGGAAUUCUCAGUGUAGCGGUGAAAUGCGUAGAUAUUGGGAAGAACACCGGAAGCGAAAGCGGACUCCUGGGUUGAAACUGACGCUGAGGUACGAAGGCGUGGGGAGC